UACGGAGGGGGCUAGCGUUGCUCGGAAUUACUGGGCGUAAAGCGCGCGUAGGCGGACCUGCAAGUCUGGGGUGAAAGCCCGAGGCUCAACCUCGGAACUGCCUUCGAUACUGCGGGUCUCGAGUCCGGGAGAGGUGAGUGGAAUUCCUAGUGUAGAGGUGAAAUUCGCAGAUAUUGGGAGGAACACCAGUGGCGAAGGCGGCUCACUGGACCGGAACUGACGCUGAGGCGCGAAAGCGUGGGGAGCAAACAGG
Molecule: ribosomal RNA, 253 nt
Filed under: uncultured bacterium
Lineage: Bacteria
Description: partial 16S ribosomal RNA
Rfam family: Bacterial small subunit ribosomal RNA
Source: RNAcentral